CCCCGGGUAGCGUAGCGGUAUCGCGGCCGGCUGUAGACCGGCAGUGGCGGGCCCGCAAUGGGCCGUGCGCCAAGGUCCCGGGUUCGAAUCCCGGCCCGGGGA
RNAcentral lists this transfer RNA (102 nucleotides) under Infirmifilum lucidum. RNAcentral describes it as "Thermofilum sp. 3507LT tRNA-Tyr". It matches the Rfam family "tRNA". From Rfam's summary of the family: Transfer RNA (tRNA) molecules are approximately 80 nucleotides in length. Their secondary structure includes four short double-helical elements and three loops (D, anti-codon, and T loops). The record is from RNAcentral. Lineage: Archaea; Thermoproteati; Thermoproteota; Thermoprotei; Thermofilales; Thermofilaceae.